Molecule: ribosomal RNA, 488 nt
Filed under: uncultured Lachnospiraceae bacterium
Lineage: Bacteria; Bacillati; Bacillota; Clostridia; Lachnospirales; Lachnospiraceae
Description: partial 16S ribosomal RNA
Source: RNAcentral
CACGUAGUUAGCCGGGGCUUCUUACUCAGGUACCGUCAUUUUCUUCCCUGCUGAUAGAGCUUUACAUCACGAAUGACCUCUUCACUCACGCGGCGUUGCUGCAUCAGGGUUUCCCCCAUUGUGCAAUAUUCCCCACUGCUGCCUCCCGUAGGAGUUUGGGCCGUGUCUCAGUCCCAAUGUGGCCGUUCACCCUCUCAGGCCGGCUACUGAUCGUCGCCUUGGUGGGCUUCUACCCCGCCAACCAGCUAAUCAGACGCGGAUCCAUCUUACACCACCGGAGUUUUUCACACUGAGCCAUGCGGCUCCGUGCGCUUAUGCGGUAUUAGCACCUAUUUCUAAGUGUUAUCCCCCAGUGCAAGGCAGGUUAUCCACGCGUUACUCACCCGUCCGCCACUAAGUUACGAAUCACUAGGUUUCAUCGUAACUCCGUUCGACUUGCAUGUGUUAGGCACGCCGCCAGCGUUCAUCCUGAGCCAGGAUCAAACUCU